CCUACGGGAGGCAGCAGUGGGGAAUCUUGGACAAUGGGGGCAACCCUGAUCCAGCCAUGCCGCGUGUGUGAAGAAGGCCUUCGGGUUGUAAAGCACUUUCAGCAGGGAGGAAGGCUUACCCAUAAUACGGGUGAGUACUUGACGUUACCUGCCGAAGAAGCACCGGGUAAUUUCGUGCCCGCCGCCGCGGUAAUUCGAAAGGUGCAAGCGUUAAUUGGAAUUACUGGGCGUAAAGCGCGAGUCGGCGGUGUGUUAAGUCGGAUGUGAAAGCCCCGGGCUCAACCUUGGAAUUGCAUCCGAUACUGGCACGCUAGAGUUCAGUAGAGGGAGGUGGAAUUUCCGGUGUAGCGGUGAAAUGGGUAGAGAUUGGAAGGAACACCCGUGGCGAAGGCGGCCUCCUGGACCGACACUGACGGUGAGGUGGGAAAGCGUGGGGAGCAAACCGGAUUAGAUACCCUGAUAGUUCCCCCCGUAAACGAUGUUUAAUAGCCGUCGGGGUCCUUAGUGACUUUGGUGGCGCAGCUAACGCGAUAAGUAGACCGCCUGGGGAGUACGGCCGCAAGGUUAAAACUCAAAUGAAUUGACGGA
Molecule: ribosomal RNA, 588 nt
Filed under: uncultured bacterium
Lineage: Bacteria
Description: bacterial SSU rRNA
Rfam family: Bacterial small subunit ribosomal RNA
Source: RNAcentral